Molecule: ribosomal RNA, 465 nt
Filed under: uncultured bacterium
Lineage: Bacteria
Description: bacterial SSU rRNA
Rfam family: Bacterial small subunit ribosomal RNA
Source: RNAcentral
AAUCAACGCUGGCGGCGUGCCUCAGACAUGCAAGUCGAACGAUUAAAGCUCUCUUCGGAGAGUGCAUAGAGUGGCGCACGGGUGAGUAACACGUAAGUAAUCUACCUUCGAGUGGGGAAUAACGUCCGGAAACGGGCGCUAAUACCGCAUAAUGCAGCGGCACCGCAAGGUGACAGUUGUUAAAGAUUUAUCGCUUGAGGAGGAGCUUGCGGCAGAUUAGCUAGUUGGUAGGGUAACGGCUUACCAAGGCUACGAUCUGUAACCGGUCUAAGAGGACGGUCGGUCACACUGACACUGAAUAACGGGUCAGACUCCUACGGGAGGCAGCAGUCGGGAAUUUUGGGCAAUGGGCGAAAGCCUGACCCAGCAACGCCGCGUGAAGGAUGAAGUAUUUCGGUAUGUAAACUUCGAAAGAAUAGGAAGAAUUAAUGACGGUACUAUUUAUAAGGUCCGGCUAACUACGUG